This 23-nucleotide non-coding RNA is filed under the name Cricetulus griseus (Chinese hamster). Lineage: Eukaryota; Metazoa; Chordata; Mammalia; Rodentia; Cricetidae. The record is from RNAcentral.
CAUGUAUAUCUGGGUUGAUGGUA